AACGAACGCUGGCGGCAUGCCUAACACAUGCAAGUCGAACGAGACCUUCGGGUCUAGUGGCGCACGGGUGCGUAACGCGUGGGAAUCUGCCCUUGGGUUCGGAAUAACAGUUAGAAAUGACUGCUAAUACCGGAUAAUGUCUUCGGACCAAAGAUUUAUCGCCCAGGGAUGAGCCCGCGUAGGAUUAGCUAGUUGGUGAGGUAAAGGCUCACCAAGGCGACGAUCCUUAGCUGGUCUGAGAGGAUGAUCAGCCACACUGGGACUGAGACACGGCCCAGACUCCUACGGGAGGCAGCAGUGGGGAAUAUUGGACAAUGGGCGAAAGCCUGAUCCAGCAAUGCCGCGUGAGUGAUGAAGGCCUUAGGGUUGUAAAGCUCUU
This 379-nucleotide ribosomal RNA is filed under the name uncultured bacterium. RNAcentral's name for it is "bacterial SSU rRNA". It matches the Rfam family "Bacterial small subunit ribosomal RNA", at positions 29 to 435 of the family's 1533-position model. The record is from RNAcentral.